UACGGAGGGUGCGAGCGUUAAUCGGAAUCACUGGGCGUAAAGCGCGCGUAGGCGGCUUUUCAAGUCAGAGGUGAAAUCCCACGGCCCAACCGUGGAACUGCCUUUGAAACUGUAGAGCUUGAGUGUCGGAGAGGGUGGCGGAAUUCCAGGUGUAGGAGUGAAAUCCGUAGAUAUCUGGAGGAACACCGGUGGCGAAGGCGGCCACAUGGACGACAACUGACGCUGAGGUGCGAAAGCGUGGGUAGCAAACAGG
RNAcentral lists this ribosomal RNA (253 nucleotides) under uncultured bacterium. Its description in RNAcentral is "partial 16S ribosomal RNA". It matches the Rfam family "Bacterial small subunit ribosomal RNA", at positions 524 to 776 of the family's 1533-position model. The record is from RNAcentral.